AGAGUUUGAUCCUGGCUCAGGACGAACGCUGGCGGCGUGCCUAACACAUGCAAGUCGAGCGGAGAUAACGUGCUUCGGCGUGUUAUUUCAGCGGCGGACGGGUGAGUAACGCGUGAAGGACCUGCCCCUUACAGAGGGAUAACAUCGAGAAAUCGGUGCUAAUACCGCAUAAGACCACGGUGCUGCAUGGCAUUGAGGUAAAAGGAGAAAUCCGGUAAGGGAUGGCUUCGCGUCCCAUUAGAUAGUAGGCGGGGUAACGGCCCACCUAGUCGACGAUGGGUAGCCGACCUGAGAGGGUGAUCGGCCACACUGGAACUGAGACACGGUCCAGACUCCUACGGGAGGCAGCAGUGGGGAAUAUUGGGCAAUGGGCGAAAGCCUUACCCAGCAACGCCGCGUGAGAGAAGAAGGUUUUCGGAUUGUAAAUCUCUGUCCUGGGGGACGAAGAAAGUGACGGUACCCCGGGAGGAAGCCCCGGCUAACUACGUGCCAGCAGCCGCGGUAAUACGUAGGGGGCGAGCGUUGUCCGGAAUUAUUGGGCGUAAAGGGCGUGUAGGUGGCCAGAUAAGCGUAAUGUGGAAGUCCAUAUUUCAAGUAUGGAAGUGCGCUAUGAACUGUCUGGCUUGAGUGCAGGAGAGGGAAGCGGAAUUCCUGGUGUAGCGGUAAAAUGCGUAGAUAUCAGGAGGAACACCGGUGGCGAAGGCGGCUUUCUGGACUGUAACUGACACUGAGGCGCGAAAGCGUGGGGAUCAAACAGGAUUAGAUACCCUGGUAGUCCACGCUGUAAACGAUGAAUGCUAGGUGUAGGAGGUAUCGACCCCUUCUGUGCCGCAGUUAACGCAAUAAGCAUUCCGCCUGGGGAGUACGGUCGCAAGAUUAAAACUCAAAGGAAUUGACGGGGGCCCGCACAAGCAGCGGAGCAUGUGGUUUAAUUCGAAGCAACGCGAAGAACCUUACCAAGGCUUGACAUCCCCUGACGGUGCUGGAAACAGUACUUCCCUUCGGGGCAGGGAGACAGGUGGUGCAUGGUUGUCGUCAGCUCGUGUCGUGAGAUGUUGGGUUAAGUCCCGCAACGAGCGCAACCCCUAUGUUCAGUUACUAACAAGUAAUGUUGAGGACUCUGGACAGACCGCCGGGGACAACUCGGAGGAAGGUGGGGACGACGUCAAAUCAUCAUGCCCCUUAUGUCUUGGGCUACACACGUGCUACAAUGGUCGUUACAAAGAGCAGCGAAGCCGUAAGGCGGAGCGAAUCUCAAAAAAGCGAUCCCAGUUCGGAUUGUGGGCUGCAACCCGCCCACAUGAAGUCGGAGUUGCUAGUAAUCGCGGUUCAGCAUGCCGCGGUGUAUACGUUCCCGGGCCUUGUACACACCGCCCGU
This 1378-nucleotide ribosomal RNA is filed under the name uncultured bacterium. RNAcentral describes it as "16S ribosomal RNA". It matches the Rfam family "Bacterial small subunit ribosomal RNA". The record is from RNAcentral.